Salvia splendens (bonfire salvia) is the source of this 400-nucleotide long non-coding RNA. RefSeq lists it as uncharacterized. The transcript has 2 exons. The record is from RefSeq and is a predicted model, not a curated record. Lineage: Eukaryota; Viridiplantae; Streptophyta; Magnoliopsida; Lamiales; Lamiaceae.
AGGUGUGAGGAAGAAGAUGGUGGUGGGGCUGGUAUUUAUAGCCAAAACUCCUUGGCAUUUUGUGUGUUAAAGAUUCUCUCUUCUUUUUGAUUUUGGGCUUAAAGCUUCACUACUAUAUUGGUGUACACUAGCUGCCUCCUUGGAGCUUUAUGGAAGCAAGAAUCGAGAGGGAGGAGGAAGGAGAAAGGGAAAGGGUUCCCUUCUUGUAGCUACUUGGUUCCCAUACUAAUUUAGCCAACUCCUAGUCUUGCUUAAUAGAGUUGGUAGGAUGAAAAGUGUCAUAUAGGUGUGAGUGUUGUCUCUUUCACUUAUGUAAUUAUGUACUAAUAGCAUCUCCAUUAUCCAUGUAAUUGUAUUUCCAAAUUGUACUCUUAAUAAAAGCAUAUCUCUUACUUUUAUA